Molecule: ribosomal RNA, 468 nt
Filed under: uncultured bacterium
Lineage: Bacteria
Description: partial 16S ribosomal RNA
Rfam family: Bacterial small subunit ribosomal RNA
Source: RNAcentral
GACGAACGCUGGCGGCGUGCUUAACACAUGCAAGUCGAACGGAAAGGCCCUGCUUUUGUGGGGUGCUCGAGUGGCGAACGGGUGAGUAACACGUGAGUAACCUGCCCUUGACUUUGGGAUAACUUCAGGAAACUGGGGCUAAUACCGGAUAGGAGCUCCUGCUGCAUGGUGGGGGUUGGAAAGUUUCGGCGGUUGGGGCUGGACUCGCGGCUUAUCCGCUUGUUGGUGGGGUAGUGGCUUACCAAGGCUUUGACGGGUAGCCGGCCUGAGAGGGUGACCGGCCACAUUGCGACUGAGGUACGGACCAGACUCCUACGGGAGGCAGCAGUGGGGAAUAUUGCGCAAUGGGCGGAAGCCUGAUGCAGCAGCGCCGCGUGCGGGAUGACGGCCUUCGGGUUGUAAACCGCUUUCGCCUGUGACGAAGCGUGAGUGACGGUAAUGGGUAAAGAAGCACCGGCUAACUACGUG